GGGAAAACAAUAGGAAAGAAACGCGGAAAAAUGCCCCCGAAAGUGAGGGAGAGGGGGUGCCCAGGAAAGGAGGACGGAAAGAAAAAGCACAAGCAACUGUAAAACAAAAACACAGGUCGAGGAAAAACCGAAAGGUGAUUUAUAUGGGCUGACCCCUGCCCGGUGCUGGAAGGUUAAGAGGAGAGGUAAGACAAAUCGAAGCUUUGAAUUAAACCCCCAGAAAACGGCGGCCGUAACUAUAACGGUCCUAAGGUAGCGAAAUUCCUUGUCGGGUAAGUUCCGACCCGCACGAAAGGCGUAAUGAUUUGAGCGCUGUCUCGACAAUGCAUCCGGUGAAAUUGAAGUACCAGUGAAGAUGCUGGUUACCCGCGCCAGGACGGAAAGACCCCAUGGAGCUUUACUCCAGUUUGGUACUGGGGUCCGGCAGUGCAUGUACAGGAUAGGUGGGAGGCUGUGAACCUGGAACGCCAGUUUCAGGGGAGCCAUUGUUGGGAUACCACCCUUGUGCUGCUGGGCUUCUAACCAGCGGCCUUUAUCAGGCCGGGGGACAAUGCCAGACGGGGAGUUUGACUGGGGCGGUCGCCUCCGAAAGGGUAUCGGAGGCGCUCAAAGGUUCCCUCAUAAUGGUUGGAAACCAUUAGAAGAGUGCAAAGGCAUAAGGGAGCUUGACUGCGACACCGACGGGUGGAGCAGGUAGGAAACUAGGACUUAGUGAUCCGGUGGUAUGAAAGUGGGAUUGCCAUCGCUCAACGGAUAAAAGCUACCCUGGGGAUAACAGGCUUAUCACUCCCAAGAGUUCACAUCGACGGAGUGGUUUGGCACCUCGAUGUCGGCUCAUCGCAUCCUGGGGCUGGAGUAGGUCCCAAGGGUUGGGCUGUUCGCCCAUUAAAGCGGUACGCGAGCUGGGUUCAGAACGUCGUGAGACAGUUCGGUCCCUAUCCGGCGCGGGCGUAAGAGAUUUGAGAGGAGCUGUCCUUAGUACGAGAGGACCGGGAUGGACGGACCACUGGUGUAUCUGUUGCACCACCAGGUGCACGGCAGAGUAGCCAAGUCUGGAAGGGAUAAACGCUGAAGGCAUCUAAGCGUGAAGCCCCCCUCAAGAUAAGAUCUCUCAUUCGAAAGAAGUAAGACCCCUUGAAGACGACGAGGUAGAUAGGGCAGGGGUGGAAGGGCAGUAAUGUCCGGAGCUGACUGUUACUAAUCGGUCGAGGGCUUGACCAA
Molecule: ribosomal RNA, 1221 nt
Filed under: Fusicatenibacter sp.
Lineage: Bacteria; Bacillati; Bacillota; Clostridia; Lachnospirales; Lachnospiraceae
Description: partial 23S ribosomal RNA
Rfam family: Bacterial large subunit ribosomal RNA
Source: RNAcentral